Syngnathoides biaculeatus (alligator pipefish) is the source of this 1115-nucleotide long non-coding RNA. RefSeq lists it as uncharacterized. The record is from RefSeq and is a predicted model, not a curated record. Lineage: Eukaryota; Metazoa; Chordata; Actinopteri; Syngnathiformes; Syngnathidae. The transcript is spliced from 3 exons.
CUCCCAUCAAACAUCCCGACCAGGGUCCCCACACAUCACGGGCCCGCCCGUCCCUCCAUCAUCAGGACGGGAUGAGCAACUUUUGUAUUAGCUCAGCCUGCGGGCUAAUCUGCCAAUUAAGAUCCUAAAUGUGCUCAUUAAUGACGACGCCUCGAUGCAUGGCGGAUGCAUUGCGACCGCCAUCACACUCCUGAGGAUCAUUGGCGUAAACAAUUUACCUGGAGGAUUAAUGCAAUAAGUGAAUCCGGGUUUCAUGAUUCACCAACGUUCAAAAAAGAAAAGAAAAAAAAGAAAAGAAAAGAAAAAAGCAAGUCAGAGGGUGACGGGGGCAGCAGCUGCGCCACAUCUGGAGGAAUUCUAAGCCCCCACCCCCACACCCCUCUGCAGUUAUGUAAGAGCUAACUCAGCAGAACAGCUGCUUCCCGUUGCAUACUGGAAGCGUGGGCUGAAACGCGCCGCCAGAUGAAAAGUGUUCCCGUUCGAUACCCUGUCGGCAGGAUCGCUUGCUGAGAAAGGAAAACACAUGAUUGGCUGGGGACCAGUUCAGGUUGUACCCCACUUCUGGCCCAGUGUCAGCUGGGUUGGGCUGCAGCAUGGCCACAACCCUAGUGAGGAUAAGCAUUACAGAAGAUGGAUGGAACAAUCGUGUUCUACUCCGGUCCUGGAUCCCAUGCAGAGAAGCAAGUUGAGAAGCAAAUGGGAUCGCUGUUCCUUGCUGCAGUCAGUACUGGAGCAGCUAAAGUCUUUUCGAGGCUUUCUGUUCCUGUUUCUCUCGUUUCCUUGAGUCCGACAUCCUUGAGAAUCCUCGCUUCUCUAAUCUUCCAGCUCACUUCCAUUUUUACGUUUGACUCCAGUGUUCACACACACACACACACACACAAUUUGUGCACCCUCACCGUACUUGUCAUUCUUCCUUGCACCACGCCCACAGACUUUUGUUCCCAUUUUUAAUUUUAUUUCAAAUUGAACAAAUUACCUCCUCAAUUUAUGGUUGUGUCUUCCUCAUCCACAGACUCACAUUGAACAUAUGAAAAAAAAAACAUGGGAGUUCAUUCACUAGGAACAAAAUAGUUCACAGAAUCCAUCCGUCCAUCUCUCAGCAGGAGUAUCGAUGU